Non-coding RNA from Cyanistes caeruleus (blue tit), 712 nucleotides. Lineage: Eukaryota; Metazoa; Chordata; Aves; Passeriformes; Paridae. The record is from RefSeq and is a predicted model, not a curated record.
UUUCCCUCUGCUUUUAUCUUCUUUUCACAAAAGAGGUCUCAAACAGUAGGUAAAAUCACCAGUCAGUGAUUCUUUGUCAAGCUUUUAUGGGUUUUACUUUCGGAAUAGGCUGGAAGAGGAGUUUCUGGCAGCACAGGAAGAAAAACAGAUUGAAAACUGUUGUGAACAUAUUAGAGCAAGAAAUGGGCGUGGGAUAAAUAACUGUCUUCCCUCUUCCCUGUGUUUUCAGGUGUGCAAGUGUUUGUGAUCAGAUAACACAAGAUCGGUGCUUAGAAAGAUGUUCAGGAGCUGAAACACUCAUAAAUCUCCUAAGGUUCUGAAAUCCUGCACGUUGAAACCACAGCUCUGUAACAUCAUUUAUUCCAAGAAGGAAAGAUAAACCCUUCUGUCAUUUAGGAAGACUCUGCUUGUUGUUGCAGCUUUGAGAGGUGUCUAGAGAUGCAGCCAAGCACCAAAACAGGACAGAAGCUGAGGCAGAGAUGUUCAUCAGGAUGUUUUCAUAGAAAUCAUUGUCUGUGAUGACUUCACGCUGUAAUUUAGCUGAUUUUAGUCAUGGAAUAAUUUAAAUGUUCCCAUUGGUCAGCUGUCUGUGGAGACAACAUCAAGAGCAUGUGAGGCUUUAUCAAAACACUGGACAGUGUUAUUUAUAAACUUCCCAGACCUAUAUUUUAUAAAUCUUAUAAAAAAAUUAGCUCUUAAAUUUACCCCUCUC